ACACCGACAAUGGGAAUGAC
RNAcentral lists this microRNA (20 nucleotides) under Ananas comosus (pineapple). RNAcentral describes it as "microRNA s0660_c88a". Lineage: Eukaryota; Viridiplantae; Streptophyta; Magnoliopsida; Poales; Bromeliaceae. The record is from RNAcentral.